Molecule: ribosomal RNA, 578 nt
Filed under: Bujurquina vittata (banded acara)
Lineage: Eukaryota; Metazoa; Chordata; Actinopteri; Cichliformes; Cichlidae
Description: partial 16S ribosomal RNA
Rfam family: Bacterial large subunit ribosomal RNA
Source: RNAcentral
CGCCUCUUGAUUACAAAACAUAAGAGGUCCCGCCUGCCCAGUGACUAUAAGUUUAACGGCCGCGGUAUUUUAACCGUGCAAAGGUAGCGCAAUCACUUGUCCUUUAAAUGAAGACCUGUAUGAACGGCUCCACGAGGGCUUAACUGUCUCCUUUUCCCUGUCAAUGAAAUUGAUCUCCCCGUGCAGAAGCGGGGAUAAUUACAUAAGACGAGAAGACCCUAUGGAGCUUUAGGCUCCAGAACAGACUAUGUAAAACACCCUUGCAUAAAAGACAAAACUUAUUAGUCCCUGUUCUAAUAUGCCUUUGGUUGGGGCGACCGCGGGGAAUUACACAACCCCCAUGUGGACUAGGAGUAUAAUUUCUCCUACAACCUAGAGCUACCGCUCUAAGUAACAGAAUAUUUGACCAAUGAUGAUCCGGCACAGCCGAUCAACGAAUCAAGUUACCCUAGGGAUAACAGCGCAAUCCCCUUCUAGAGUCCCUAUCGACAAGGGGGUUUACGACCUCGAUGUUGGAUCAGGACAUCCUAUUGGUGUAACCGCUAUUAAGGGUUCGUUUGUUCAACGAUUAAAGUCCU